This 89-nucleotide transfer RNA is filed under the name Ailuropoda melanoleuca (giant panda). It matches the Rfam family "tRNA". From Rfam's summary of the family: Transfer RNA (tRNA) molecules are approximately 80 nucleotides in length. Their secondary structure includes four short double-helical elements and three loops (D, anti-codon, and T loops). Further hydrogen bonds mediate the characteristic L-shaped molecular structure. tRNAs have two regions of fundamental functional importance: the anti-codon, which is responsible for specific mRNA codon recognition, and the 3' end, to which the tRNAs corresponding amino acid is attached (by aminoacyl-tRNA synthetases). tRNAs cope with the degeneracy of the genetic code in two manners: having more than one tRNA (with a specific anti-codon) for a particular amino acid; and 'wobble' base-pairing, i.e. permitting non-standard base-pairing at the 3rd anti-codon position. The record is from Rfam by way of RNAcentral. Lineage: Eukaryota; Metazoa; Chordata; Mammalia; Carnivora; Ursidae.
GGCUCUGUGGCGCAAUGGAUAGCGCAUUGGACUUCUAGUGCUUGAAGGAAGGAAUUCAAAGGUUGCGGGUUCGAGUCCCGCCAGAGUCG